GAUGAACGCUGGCGGCGUGCCUAAUACAUGCAAGUCGAGCGAACAGACGAGGAGCUUGCUCCUCUGACGUUAGCGGCGGACGGGUGAGUAACACGUGGAUAACCUACCUAUAAGACUGGGAUAACUUCGGGAAACCGGAGCUAAUACCGGAUAAUAUAUUGAACCGCAUGGUUCAAUAGUGAAAGACGGUUUUGCUGUCACUUAUAGAUGGAUCCGCGCCGCAUUAGCUAGUUGGUAAGUUAACGGCUUACCAAGGCAACGAUGCGUAGCCGACCUGAGAGGGUGAUCGGCCACAAUGGAACUGAGACACGGUCCAGACUACUACGGGAGGCAGGAGUAGGGUAUCGUCCGCAAUGGGGGAAAGCCUGACGGAGCAACGCCGCGUGAGUGAUGAAGGUCUUCGGAUCGUAAAACUCUGUUAUUAGGGAAGAACAAAUGUGUAAGUAACUAUGCACGUCUUGACGGUACCUAAUCAGAAAGCCACGGCUAACUACGUG
Molecule: ribosomal RNA, 497 nt
Filed under: uncultured bacterium
Lineage: Bacteria
Description: partial 16S ribosomal RNA
Rfam family: Bacterial small subunit ribosomal RNA
Source: RNAcentral